Molecule: long non-coding RNA, 687 nt
Filed under: Crocodylus porosus (Australian saltwater crocodile)
Lineage: Eukaryota; Metazoa; Chordata; Crocodylia; Crocodylidae
Description: lncRNA (ENSCPRG00005018820.1)
Source: RNAcentral
CAUCCACAUCAGAGAGCAGAACUUGAUAUAAUUUAUUAGACAAUAUAGAAAGUAAUGCAGUCUAAAAGGAGAUGUUGCCCACUGGUUGUGCCAUAAAGACGCACAGUGCAGAUACUGGAUGGUUCUGAGCUACUUUGACAAGAACAAAACAUUAAUUUUAAUGAUGAUCCUCGAACCAAACCAUUUCAACUCCAUAGACUACCUUAGUUCCCAUUUCAUAAAUCAAAAUUGGUCCUUGGACACACACAGGGGUACGCGCAUCUUGUAUACUUUUAGUUAGGGAACACUUUUUAUAAUGCUGUUUUUUUCUCAGUAAGUUGGAGUUGCAAAGAAUUACAUUUUUAUUCAUUUGAAUUAAUAAUUAUUUUCCUUGCUGUACCCAGUCUCAUAGCUUUCUAAUGGACUUUCUCAGCUACAUCAAGAGUACAAAGGUGGAUCAGCUGGAGGACCUGGCUUCCCAUCUGGGUUUGAGGACACAGGAUGCAAUUAAUAGAAUACAAGACCUGAUGGCAGAUGGUACUCUGACAGGUGACACUGGAGAAAUUACAUGUUUCUAUCUACGUGGGUUAGACUGUGAAUAGGUAACCUAGGAGCAGGAGGCCAGCCUCUGGGGCACAUGCCACAAGUGGCACCGGCAGUCUCUAUGGGGGCACACAGGAGAUCAGGGAAAGGGUAGCAGAAGAUAGU